CCCAGACUCCUACGGGAGGCAGCAGUGGGGAAUAUUGCACAAUGGGGGGAACCCUGAUGCAGCGACGCCGCGUGAGUGAAGAAGUAUUUCGGUAUGUAAAGCUCUAUCAGCAGGGACGAAGAUGACGGUACCUGCAGAAGAAGCCCCGGCUAACUACGUGCCAGCAGCCGCGGUAAUACGUAGGGGGCAAGCGUUAUCCGGAUUUACUGGGUGUAAAGGGAGCGUAGACGGCAGGGCAAGCCAGAAGUGAAAGCCCGGGGCUCAACCCCGGGACUGCAUUUGAAACUGUCAGGCUGGAGUGCAGGAGAGGUAAGUGGAAUUCCUAGUGUAGCGGUGAAAUGCGUAGAUAUUAGGAGGAACACCAGUGGCGAAGGCGGCUUACUGGACUGUAACUGACGUUGAGGCUCGAAAGCGUGGGGAGCAAACAGGAUUAGAUACCCCCGUAUG
This 447-nucleotide ribosomal RNA is filed under the name uncultured bacterium. RNAcentral describes it as "bacterial SSU rRNA". It matches the Rfam family "Bacterial small subunit ribosomal RNA", at positions 330 to 793 of the family's 1533-position model. The record is from RNAcentral.